GCAGCUGGUGGGAUGUCAGGUGGAUCCAAAUGGGGCUAAGAAAACUAAGUGUAUUGCAAAACCCAAACUGAAAUGAAUGGUCAGUUAAUGAGGGAGGAAUGUUGACCAAGAAACACAGCAUAUCAAGUCUUGGACCAAAGCGAAUCCACAACCAGGUCGCUCACUUGGUUAAGUGCGACCAACAAAACCAGGCUGACGGAACUUUAGUUCCCUGAAAGUGGCAAUAGUUCCGUAACAGUGGUGACAGGGUGAUGAAGAAAGCGUUUGGCAUGCCUUCAUCGGUCAAGGCAUCGAGUACACGAGUUGGGACGUCAUGUUACAGCUGUACAAGAUGUUGAUCUGGCCUGAAAGAUGCCUUGUGACUCUGCCAAGAGUUCCUUUGCAAGCAGAUGUCAGAUGCAGACAGUGAAGAAAGUUAUCAAACGUUACAGGGGAAUCUUGAUCAGCUGGGAUUUAGGCCAUCCCUAACUGCCUUGAAGAAGAUGGCGAUGAGCUGAUGUUUUGAACCACUGGUAAACUGGUAAAUUGGUUUAUUAUUGACACAUGUACAGUGAAAAACUUUGUUUAGCAUGCCAUCCAUACAGAUCAUUUCAUUACAAAAGUAUAAGGGAAAACAAUAUCAGAAUGUGUUGCAGUUACAGAGAAAGUGCAGUGCAGGCAGACAAUAAGGUGCAAGGCCAUAAUUGAGUAGAUUGUGAGGUCAAAGAGUCCAUCUUAUCGUACUAGGAUAGAAGCUGUCCUUGAGACUGGUGGUACAUGCUUUCAGGCUUUUGUAUCUUCUGCCUGAUGGAAGGCGGAGAAGAGAGAAUGUCCGGGGUUGGAGUGAUCUUUGAUUAUGCUGGCUGCUUUACCGAGGCAGUGAGGUGUAGACAGAGUCCAUGGAGGGGAGACUGGUUUCCGUGAUGUGCUGAGCUGUGUCCACAACUCUCUGCAGUUGUUCUGGUGAAGAUUUUAUGUUUUCUCUUUGAGCGUAAAAGCAAUGGUACAAGAACGUAAGAAAACAGGAGCAGGAGUCGGCCAGUCAGCCUCUCAAGCCUGCCCCACCAUUCAGUACGAUCAUGGCUGAUCUGCCCUAAGCCUCACCUCCUCUUGUUCCCCUUUAAAUACCCCCAUUGAUCGAAAUUCUACAACUCUUCGGGAUAGAGAGUUCCAGAGGUUCGUCACCCUCGGCGAGAAGAAAUUCCUAUGCGCCUGUUUUGAAUGACCACCCCUAAUCUUUUAACUAUGUCCCCAAGCUUGACGUUAUCCCACUUGUGGAAACAACUCGCCAGACAACAUUGUAAGGGUCAAUGCGUCGGGUGGGUCUGCAGGAAGUAAUUGACUGGGUUAGGGCGGUAGAUUUCUUCCCCAUUAGUGAACCAGAUGGGUAUUUAUGACACUCCGUCAGUUUAUGUGUCCAUUAUUGUUAACACUAGUUGUUGCUGCUUCUCUAAAUUAUUAACCAAACUUAUAUUCCACAAAUCCCAUGCUGGGAAUGAACUUGGAUCUCUGGAUUGUUUAUCCAGGAUUGCUACUCCAGUGACGGCACUACCAACGCACUCAGCUCUACGCCCAUAACCCUGCAGAUUACAGCUUUUCAAGUGCUCCUCCACGAAUUGAGGGGUUUUGCCUCUUCUAGCUCUUUGUGCAGUGAGUUUCACACACCCAACUUUCUCUAUCUUCCUCAACCCUCCUCUAACUCUUCGACCUCUAACCUUAAGCUACACCAUCCAGUUACUAUGAUAAUAGUCAUAAAGUAAUACAGCAUGAAAACAGGCCCUUUGGCCCAACUCGUCCAUGCUGACCAAGAUGCUUAUUAUCCUCUCUUCUAAAGUAAGUAGUUCUUUUCUAUUCACUCUCUCUUUUUCUUUUUCAAUAUUUUUAUUAAUUCCAAAUAAAAAGUACAAAGUACAUGAAACAAAGGAAAAAAAAACAAAAUGUUACAAAAUAGAUUGUACUGAAUCGCACUAAAAAUCACAAUGCUUCAUAUUAAUAAACAAAAAUGAUAACUAAUUAGUAUUGAUAAGUUGGAAUAAUAUUAUUAUUAAAAAAAUCUAGCCCCAUUACCAAAACCGAAGCUGUUUAGUAACAUCCUAAAGACACAGUAGUAUUGGCCAAUAUCUGUACUUUGCACCGUAUCAGUGGUUUUGAAAGUAGUUCAAAAAAGGUCCCCCACUCUCUCACACAAUUUUGAUUAAAUUUUCCCUUAGUCAGCUCUGAGCCUAAAUUUUACAAAGGCAAGUGAACUGAGAUCAGGUAAUACAACUGAAAUGGAAAUAGCCAGUCUAAGUCACAAUGUGGUUGCACGAUCUGAAACUCAGCUUGGUUUCGAUUACAGCACUGAGAUUGUGAACAGUUUUAUUCAGGUUACCAGGGAGGGGGAGGGAAAUGGUGGGGAUGGGGGCCAUAGAAAAUGGGUUCAAUCUUCCAGUGUUCUGUUGGAAGAAAUUUCUAGUUGCCCACUAAAGAAUGUCAGAUAGGCAGUAUGGCAAGUGAAAGGUAGUGAUGGGGGGAAAGGAGGACGGAGGUGGGUGGGGGAAGGGGC
Molecule: long non-coding RNA, 2524 nt
Organism: Pristis pectinata (smalltooth sawfish)
Lineage: Eukaryota; Metazoa; Chordata; Chondrichthyes; Rhinopristiformes; Pristidae
Exons: 3
Source: RefSeq, a predicted model, not a curated record